RNAcentral lists this long non-coding RNA (34120 nucleotides) under Homo sapiens (human). RNAcentral describes it as "HSALNT0370551". Lineage: Eukaryota; Metazoa; Chordata; Mammalia; Primates; Hominidae. The record is from RNAcentral.
CUCUCGAAAUUCAGCAACUGCUAACAGCGAGGAGGGGGUAAGUAAGAGACUUCCGGGGGCCAUCUCGUGGGACUUGAGAAGGAAGCUAACACCCAGGAAGCAGGAUCAGGGGAAGGGAAACACACACACAAAGCCCUGAUUAUCUUGUUUCAGCCUCUGGGUCCAGCUGAGCCCAAAGUCUUCCAUCCUGGAUUCUUGUUACAUGGGACAAUAAAUUUCCUUUUUUUUGCUUAAGUCAGUGUGAGUUGGGUUUCUACUACAGCAACUUAAAAAGCUCCGUCAGACACAAAUGUCUGGCCUGUUUGCAUUAUUUUUUUUUUCCCAAAAGCAGCUUUCCUCCCAUCAUCAUGUGAUGCCAUUUUUUUUUUUUUUUUUUUUUGUGGCAUGGUCUAGCUUUGUCGCCCAGGCUGGAGUGCAGUGGCACAAUCUGGGCUCACUGUAACCUCUGCCUCCCGGGUUCAAGCGAUUCUCAUGCCUCAGCCUCCCAAGUAGCUGAGACUUCAGGCAUGCGCUACCACGCCCAGCUAAUUUUUGUAUUUUUGGUAGAGACAAGGUUUCACCAUGUUGGCCAGGCUGGUCUCGAACUCCUGAGUUCAAGUGAUCCACCUGCCUCCGCCUCUCAAAGUGCUGGGAUUACAGGUGUGAGCCACUGCACCCGGCCAUGUGAUGCUAUUUCUAAGCACCAGUGUGGAAUAGAGUGUCAAAAUGUGGCAUCAGACUGCUGGGGCCGAGGCAGGCAGAUUUGGAUCAAAUUCCUGCUGCUCCCUCCAGACCUGACGCCCUUGGGCGAGGCCUUUCAUCUCUCAAAGUCUCAGUAGCCUCAUCUGUAAAUUGGGGAUAUUAAUAUCUCCCCUCACAGUGCAGAUGAAACAGGAAAAUGUUUGUUAAACCUUUUCACAUGCUGUUCCUUCUGCACAGAAUGCUCUUCCUUCUCUUCUUUGCUGACUUAGCAUCUAUUCAUCUUCAGAGUCUCAGCUCAAGAGUCAUUUUGUCAGAGCUAUCUCCCUAACCUCGUUGGCCAAGGCCCGUUGUUCUGUGAAAUUGUCCCAUCCUCUGGAGCUUUCAUUAAAGAAUCAAUGUGUCAUUCUAGGCAUGACUAUGUGAUUAAUGUCCACCUCCCCCACUAGAAUGUAAGUUCCAGGGGGACAGGGAAGUGUCAGUUUCUGCUCACCACUAUGUCUCCAGUACCCUGCACAGAACAGACCUUUGAGAAAUGGUCAAUGCAUUAACUGCUAUUGCACUAGACUCUAAUCAGAAGUUUUAGGAGGUUGGGUGCUCAGGCCUGUAAUCCCAGUGAUUUGGGAGGCCAUGGCAGGAUUGCUUGGGCCCAGGAGGGUGAGACCAACCUGGGCAACAUAGCGAGGCCCCCAUCUCUACAAAAAAAUUUUUUAAAAUUAGCUGGGUGUGGUGGUGCGUCCCUGUAGUCCUAGCUACUUGAGAAGCUGAGGUAGGAAGAUGGCUAGAGCCCAGGAGUUAGAGGCUGCAGUGAGCUAGGAUCCUGUCACUGCACUCCAGCCUGGGUGACAGAGCAAGACCUUGUCUCCAAAGAUAAAAACUAAAAAUUGAAAAAAAAAAGUUUUAGGUAAGUAGUGUUUCUUUGGACUCAGCCUACAUAGAAGUGAGCAUCUGAAAUUACUAGGAUGCUAUGAUUCCAGCAAGUGUCCACGUGGGUUCAUUCGACCCAAAACCAAUGGAGAUGAGCAUUGGUCUCUAUAUGACUAGCCUGAGCCAUGCAGAUGGCAGGUCUUCAUCCAUCAGCCAAUGGACAGUCACUGUUCCCUUAGGUCCAGGAAGGCAGGAACAGUGGCACACAGAAGGACAACUGGCCUUCAAAGAACCCAUAGAAGAGAUGAGCUUAAAAGGAAUGAGAUGAAGGCUGGGUGUGGUGGGUCAUACUUGUAAUCCCAGUGACUCAGGAGGCCUAGACAGGAGGAUUGUUUGAGGCCGGGAGUUUGAGACCAGCCUGGGUAACAUAGUGAGACCCCUGUCUCUAUAAAAAAAAAAAAAUUAAAAACUAGCCAGGACUGGUUAAUUAGCUUACAUCUGUCGUCAUAGCUACUCAGGAGGCUGAGGCCCAGGAGUUCAAGACUGCAGUAAGCCAUGAUCAUGCCACUGUACUCCAGCCUAGAGUCCAGGUUAUAUACUAGGUUAACAAAGAAGAUGCUAAUUUUAACAAGGAAAAGCAUUCUGUGCAGAAGGAACAGCAUGUGCAAAGGUUUAACACAUAUUUUCAUGUUGCAUCUGCACUGAGGGGGAAUAUUAAUAUCCCCAUUUUAUUCAUGAGGCUACUGAGCAUUUGAGAUAUGAAAGGCACUCCAGCCUUUUAUUCUUUUCUUGAGACAGGAAAAGAAUAAAAUAAAAUAAGGAUAUUGUGGGCUCUGGAGAAGACCUACCUGGGUUUGUAACUCAGCCCUGUCACUGACUAGCUGUGUGGCUUUGGACAGCCUUGAUCCAUCUGGAAGACUUGCUUUCCUCGUCAAUAAAACGGAGAUGUCAUCCCUGUGUUGCGAGGAGACAGACGGCUGGGUCCAAGUCUCUGCUCCUCCAUUCGCGUUGUGUGAACACGGCUCACUGGUUUACCAUUUAGAGCCUCAGUUUCCUUGACUGUAGGAUGAGGGAGCAACAGAAUCUAAUUCUUAGAGAGGUUGGAACGAUGAGGCCAGUUAAUGAAUUAAGUGCCAGCCACCAAGCCUGAACUUAAUAGAUACUCAAUGUAUGUGGCCACUGAUAUUCUUCUACUACUCCUAUAUUAGUAUUAUUAGUAGUAAUAUUAAUAUAAUGAAUGAGCUGGCUUAUGCCAAGCACCCAACACUGCCUGGGGCAUGAUCGGGCCCUUUCUCUUCUCCUGAUGUGUGUCCUGGCUCUGGCCACUGGCUGACCCACCCCAAUUAGGUGACUCUCAUGUUAAUAUUGACACACAAAGGAACCAGCUGGCGACCUCUGAACUCAUCCCACUUGGGAUCACAGGCUGAUUUUGGCCCCAGCCCUCAACUUUGAGAGCCGGACUCGUAAUCUCCUUUGACACCAAAAAGAGUUGGCCUCACCCCGACCUUUGCUCCCUGCUUCACUGAUUUCCGGUGUUUACUGGGCCUGAUGGGCGUCACAUUGCCCACAGCAUGGAUGUGGCCUGGAGGGAGCGGAGGGAGGCCUGGAUGGACCAGUGCUUGGGGAAGGAGUAGGGAGGGACAGGGCAAGUGGAGGCCUUUGGCUCAAGAAAACACACCUGCGACCGGGUGCAGUGGCUCAUGCCUUUAAUCCCAGCACUUUGGGAGGCCUUGGGGGGAGGUUCCCUUGAGGCCAGUUCAAGAUUAGCCAGGGCAAUGCAGCAAAAUCCUGUCUCUCAAAAAAAAAAAAAACAAAAAAAAUUAAUUAGCUUGGCAUGGCAGUGCACAACUAUAGUUCCAGCUACUCAAAAGUGAAAGGUAGGAGGAUGGCUUGAGGCCAAGAGUUCAAGACCAGCCUGGGCAACGAGCAAGACCCCAAUUUCUACAAAAAUAAAAUAAUUAGCCAAGUGUGGUGGCACAAACCUAUAGUCCUAGCUACUUGGGAGGCUGAGGUGGGAGGAUCACUGAGUCCAGGAAUUCAAGGUUACAGUGAGCUAUGAUGGCACCACUGCACUCCAGCCUGGGCGGCAGAGUGAGACUUUGUUUCUAUAUAAACAGAUAAAUCAAGCUCACCUGUAGAGGAUGUAUCCGUGGGGACAGAUUGCCAGACAGGGAGCCCCAUUAGGAGGACAACAGUCUACAAGGAGAUGGUAGUGAGUGCAUCUGAGUGUGUUGGCGAGAAACGGAGCCGGCAGGAAAGUCACCGGGAAAGUGGAAUGUACAGGGCCCCAACCAUUAGCCUGAGGGGUGUAGGGAGGAGAUUCUCUAGGGAGGAGGUCUCUUCUCAAAUGUACUCAACACAGGGUUUUGUCCCCUGUUGCUCUGGGCUUACAAGGAAGGAAUACAGAUGCCUCGCUCAGUGCUCCCCGACCCCCUGCCACCGCCGUGGGUGGUCUGCAUGAGAAAUGGCCCUUGUGCCUCUUCCCCAACACCAGCACCAGCCCUGUGCCUCGACCCCAAAACCAGCCUCAGCCCUACCUACCCCAACACUGAGCCCGGGAAACAGACCCAGAACCGGGUGAUGCCUGAGAGGAGUUACCAUGGCAACAGAUGUGCCGGCACAGACAGGGAGUUUUGCUGACCAUCCCCAGCCCGCUGGCCACCCCUAUAGAGGGGUGCAUGAACCAUAAACUGUCCUUGCAGCUGGCCCUGGGGACUUGGCACUGGACAUCCCUCCAAAGGAGAGGUCUCCUACAGACUAGUCACUAGACACAGAGCUCCAGGCCAACCUCCUGUUGGAGCUCUCUGGCUCUUCCAGCUUUCUCUACAUGACACCUUUGAUUACAGCCCCUCUGGAAGACCGUCUGCUUUCAUUUUCUCCUCGGGGCUGUCUCCCCCCUGCACUGUUGAUGGAAGAUGAGCUUCUAAGCCUCCUUUCUGUGAUGGGCGUGGAGCUCACAGGUGCGGUGGGGGAGGAUGAAGGAAGGGUCGAAAGAACUGAGGUUAGGGGUGAGGCCUCUGGAGCCAGACCUGCCUGAAUUUGACUCCGGCUCUGUCACUCACUGGCUGUGUGGCCUUGGGCCAGUUACUUAAUGUCUCUGAGCCUCCUUUCAUCAUCUGCAAACUGGUAGUGAUUACAGUAGCACUCACCUUAUUAGGUUGUGGUGAGGAUUAAAUGAGAUAAUACAUGAUAAAUCUUAGGACAGGGCCUGGCAGAAUAUAAACACUUAAUGUCCAUAACCUCUUCCCUUCACUAAAAUCACCCCAUUCCUAGGAAGAGAGGAACACAUUUUUGGCCAUGAGAAUUCACAGGGUUAAGUAAAAGUGUAAAAGAGUGAACAAGUGAGAAUUGAGAGUUUUGGGAAUUAGAAAGAAGGGUGCUUUCUUUUUUUCUUUCUUUUUUUUGAGACAGAGUUUCGCUCUUGUUGCCCAGGCUGGAGUGCGAUGGCGCCAUCUUGGCUCACUGCAACCUCCGCCUCCCAGGUUAAAGCGAUUCUCCUGCCUCAGCCUCUCAAGUAGUUGAGAUUACAGGCGCCUGCCACCACGCCCGGCUAAUUUUUUGUAUUUUUAGUAAAGACGGGGUUCCACCAUGUUGGCCAGGCUGGUCUCAAACUCCUGACCUCAGACCAUCCGCCCGCCUCAGCCUCCCAAAGUGCUGGGAUUACAGGCGUGAGCCACUAUGCCCAGCUGAAGGGUGCUUUCUUAAUAUACUCUGCACUAGACAGUAAGUUUUCAGGGAGCAGAAAGCAAAGUAAAAGUCUGUCUGAUUUUCCCCAAUCCUUCCAACACCUGACACAGGGCUAGGCACAAAGUUUUAUUUCCACAGUCUGAAAAUGCCAUCCGUUAUAAGAGGCAGCAUCCAUUUAAUUAGAGUAUUUCUCUUUCUUUUUCUUUUUUAAGAUGGAGUCUCGCUCUGCCACCCAGGCUGGAGUGCAGUGGUGUGAUUUCAGCUCACUGCAACUUCCACCUCCCAAGUUCAAGCGAUUCUUGUGCCUUGGCCUCUUGGGUAGCUGAGACUAUAGGCACGCAGCACCAUGCCUGGCUAAUUUUUAUAUUAUUAGUAGAGACAGGGUUUUGCCAUGUUGGCCAGGUUGGUCUCGAACUCCUGACCUCAAGUGAUUUGCCUGCCUCAGCCUUCCAAAGUGCCGGAGCAAAUGAAAAUGGGCAUUAUAUAUGUACUAGAUCCCAGUUUCAAAAUGUUAAAAAGAAAAAAAGUUCAUCUUAAAGCUGGAGAAAUAAAAUCAUAGGUCAUUAAUAAAUGGUAAUCGACUAUGUGAAUGGGUGGUUGCAGGAAAUGACAAUACAGUAGAAUGUAGUUAAAUACUCACUAUGCUCACUAUACUCACCAAUACUGGAAGAGUUAGAAAAGGUAUCCACCAUAACAAGCAGAGUGCAUCUGGGAAGACUUCCUGGAAGAGGCAGCCUAUGAGUGGGAAUAAGCAAAAACUAAGUUAUCUGACUUGGGGAGAGCAAGAAAUGGUGGUUGGGCAUAAGGGGUAGAGUCUUGAUAAACUAGGAGGCUGUGUGACCACCAUCAUCCCCCUCCUUAGGUAAUGGAGAAUGUCAGAAUUAUCCAGGAAGGUGACUUCUACGUCAGCUCAGAGAAGCCAGGACCAGAUCAGACAUGAGUCCCAGGGCAUGGGCCUGCACCAGGCUAGGCCCACAGGGGGCUUAAGGCACUGGUGGCAAAGCAGCCUGGGUUCAAAUCCCAGCUGCUCCUUAGCUGGGCAACUCUGAACUGGUUACUUGGCUUCUCUGGGCAUCAGAUCCCUCCUCACCCAGGAAGUAGGGCAGAUGACAGGGCUCUGAGGUCAGGCAUGUGCAGAAUCUGGUGUAUGGAAGGUGCUUCAUAAAUAUUAAAUUUAGAAUAGGAUGUGAUUUCUUUCUUUUUUUGAAAAGUUUUGAAAGGUAAAGGCCAUUAGCUUGGAGGCAGAAGACAGACCUCCCUGACUGCUGAAUUCCUGCCGGCCUGAAAUUGGAGCAUUCCAAGCUCCUCAGAUGAGUCAUAAGCCACCAAGAUUGUGAGCCUCUGGGUGAGUAUGAGUAGAAUUAGAUACUUCCUUUGUGGGGCUCAGUGCAAAAUGCAAAUGAGAGGUCGGCGCUAAAUACGAGAAUGUGCCCAUCAAGCUGCUUCUGUGGCCUCGCGCCUCGCAGCAGUCACAGAGCCUUCAGCUGGAAUCCUGGCAAACACUGUGGGCCCUCCCAUGGUCUGGGAUGUGCUUAAUCCGAACACAGCCCUGUGGAGUAGGUGCUAUUGUUAUCCUCAUAUUACAGAUGGGGAAACUGAGGCACAGAGGGAGGGACCACCAGCUGAGCCGCCAAAGGACAGGCAGCUGGUGGCAUGGCUUUUAAAAGGGAACCUGUGCCCCCGGAUCUGGAGACAUCUUAGCCCACUAGCCCCUUCUUUUAGGGUGAAAUACGCAUUCUGCGAAAUGGAGGCAGCUUGUAAUGGGGGUGAAGCCAAAUGCGAGAGGCCCGGGCAGCCGGAUUUUCAAUCCCAGUUCCCAGGGCACCUCCUUCCCACCGUACCCCGCUUCCUCCAGCAGGGAGCCCCCUCCCUCCAGCAGAACAGGGUCUGGCCUAGCCAACUUGCUACCGGGGCCGGGGGCCAAGAGUUAACGUCGGAAGGGAGCUCGAGAGAGUGUGAGAGCUAAAGGACAUGUCAAAUCAAUCAUAUUUAAACAAAAGCCUCUCCCGCCCAAGGGCCCUUUUAAAAGCUGCUUAUUUAAUUAAAAGUCCCAUUUUCCAUAUUUAUGGCCCUUAUUCAGUUAAAUAUUAACCGCUGGGGCCAGGGCUAGUGUGUGCUUUGUGAGCGGUGUGCGGGGAGGUUCAUUACCGCGGCCGGGAUUUACCAGACGGUGGCACGGCCGCGGCGGAUCAAUGCGGCCUGCCCUGGACAAACAUGCUGGGGGCGGCCGCGGGGGCCGGGUGGGGCGGCGGGGCCCGAGGGCGCCUCCUCACUCUCCGGCUGGGACUCAGCGACUCGGGGACGCCUUGUCUCUCUCCCUGUCUCUCGCUUCCACAUGCUGUCCCUGGGGCUGAGUCGUAGGCCUGGAGUCAGAGACAGAGAGACAGUGAGACCCAGAGAGAGAUAUAGAGAGGCCCAGAGAGAGAUAGCGAGAGACCCAGAGACAGUGAGAGACCCAGAAAGAGACAGAGAGACAGUGAGACCCAGAGAGAGAGAGAGAGAUACAGAGAGCCAGUGAGAGAUCCAGAGAGACAAUGAGACCCUGAGAGAGGCCCAGAGGUAGAUACAGAGAGAUAGUGAGAGACCCAGAGAGAGACCCAAAGACAGUAAGAGACCUAGAGAGAUAGUGAGAGACACCAAGAGAUACAGAAAGACAGUGAGAGACCCAGAGAGACAGAGACAGGGAGACACCCAGAGAGAGACACAGAGACAGUGAGAGACACAGAGAGAGACAUCGACAGUGAGAGACAGAGACAGAGACUGAGAGAUCCAAAGAGACACUGAGAGACCCAGCGAGACAGAGAUAGAGAGACACCCAGAGAGAGACACAGAGACAGUGAGAGACACAGAGAGAUCUAGAGACACUCCCAGUGAGACACAGAGACAGAGACUCAGAGAGACAGAGACAGGGAGACACCCAGAGAGAGACACAGAGACAGUGAGAGACACAAAGAAAGACACAGAAAGUGAGAGAUACAGAGAAACAGAGACUGAGAGACCCAGAAAGACAGUGAGAGACCCAGCGAGACAGAGACAGGAAGACACCAGAGAGAGACACAGAGACAGUGAGAGACACAGAGAGAUCUAGAGACACUCCCAGGGAGACAGAGACAGUGAGAAACCAGAGAGUCAGUGAGAGACAGCGGGUCGUGUUUCUCCGUGUCUGGCUGUGUCUAGGUUGAGACCAGGUCCAUACUUCUUAAAAUCCAACGAGAAAUUAAAAUGUUAAAAAAUUAAUAAGAAUUUCCUGUGCGUGGCUGCACAGGUGGCACACUCUGGGCCCUGGCAGCCUCUCUCUCUUACUAUGUGUGCUGGGGUGGGGCUGCAGAGGUACCAGGCAUGGGGUUAGAGGGGUGGAAGGCCCAUAAGAGCCCACGCGCUGCUCUUCCAGGCCCCAUUCACUGGAGAGAUGGGCAAAAAGAAAAACAGGGAAAGGGGGGAAUCUGGCAUGUAUUAAGGAUUUGACCUCACUCAGCUGCAGGGACAGGGGCAGAAAGAAAACAGCCACAGAAGAGGCCUAGAUCCAAGCAGAGGCGCUCCCGGCUGCAAAACACGCAUCACACGCAGAGCUUUAUCCAGGGCUUCCCUGCACCAGGCACCAGUGCUGGCCAGUGUUAACUUACGUCAUCCUCACUUCCAUCCUACAUAGGUCGUACGCUUUUGAUCCGCAUUUUACAGAUGGGAAAACUGAGGUUCCAGACAAGCAGGGAGUGAUCCUAGGGUCACUCAACCAGGGAGGGGCAGACCCAGGCUGUCUGCUCCUCAUCACACAGUAGAAAUCACCAGAGUUGCUCAGACCCAGCUGGGCACCAUCCUUGCCGUUUACAAGUUCCUGACCCUACCUGAGCCUCAGUUUCCUCAUCUGUGAAAUAGGGGAAUAAGAUUUUUGGGGACAUUUUGAAUCACGUUUUAUGGUUGCUCCAUCCCAGGCCCUCCACCCCACACUGCUGCUCCUGACCACUGCAAUUGAUCCCUGAACUCGCUGAUGUGACUCUCGGGGUGUCAGGGACAAAGCCAAAUGCACUUCCCAGUCUUCUGAGUACUCAAGGGGGCAGGGCUUUCUCUGUCCCUCACUGCAGGAAGCAGUGUGGUGAAUGGAAAAGGUGCACUGUAGAACCACAGACAAUCCCACCUUUGCCAUUUACUGGUUCUGCAAACUUAGGCUGCCUCACAUCACCACUCAGAGCCUCAGUUUCUCCAGCUGCAAAAUGGGAAUAAUGAUAGACCCUCCUCCUAGUUGUUCUGAGGAUUCAAUGACAUAAUUCUUGUAAUGGCUUAGCAGUGUGUGGCACGCAGUGAGCAUCAUUGCCAGCCCUAUAAAAGCCUGCAGGGGCUGCACAAAUGCUGCCAGCCUGUGCCUCCAAGGUGCCAUCUCUGAGGGGCAGUGGGGCUCCAUCAGUUCCAGCCCUGAGACCCGGCCAGUCUCCUGAGUGGCCUGGCAGAGGGAAACUUCUGCUCCAGUGCCACCUCUGGCCCUCCUGUGACCUUGGACCUGGAACAUGCCACUGCCCCUCCUGGGGCCUCAGCUUACCCAUCUGUGGAAUGAGGGGAUCAUUGGGUUUAGAGAAAUCUCUCUGGGCUAUUGCAGGGAUAAUGCAUCUCCGCAGCAGACAGGGUGAAGAAUUUAACCUAAAUGUGAAAAUAUCAUUGAAAUGUGCCCAUUUAUGCACAGGAAGGACUGUGCGACAACCAGGGCAAGCGCAUGGCUCCUGAGAGCUGUCUGUUAGGUGCCAACAGCCAGGUUGGGAAAGACAUCUCCUAUAUCACACACAUGCAUGCACACACAUGGUCAUAGGCACAUGCACACAAAAAACACAUGCAUGUAUGCACACAUGCACACAUGGGUAUGGACACACAUGAACACACACGCAUGUACACAAUGCACAUAGGGCAUGGGCACACUCAUGCAUGCAUAUGAAUGCAUGCAUGGGCACUGGCCUGCGCACACACAUACAUGCAUACACAUGCAUGGGCACACAUGCAUACACGGGCAUGAGUGCACAUUCACAUGAGCACAUAUACACACAUACAUGCUCUUGCAUGCAUAUACUCAGGCACAUGCACACACACAGACAUGCACACACACGGACAUGCACACACACGUGCACACACACGGACGUGAAGACACACACACAUGCACACAUGCACAAGGGCAUACACCUCAUCACAUCUUUUGCCCCAUGCUCUGCUUCUCCAUGUGGAUCCUGUUAAGAGCCUGGUGCCUGAUUUCUCCCACCACUACCUCCUCCCCAAAAAGAAAAAAAAUCUGAAAAGCCAGAUUAGAACUUCACAUACGCAUCGCUGGAAAAAAUCUAUGUCUCAUUUUCAUAUCUAGCAAAAUAAAAUGACAGCAGAGCACUCCAGCAAACCCCUAGAGGGGGGAGCGUGUCUGCCGAAGAUGAGGGGUGGUGGCGGGGAAGACACCUUUCCCAAAGGGAGGAGGCCCCGGGGCCAGAGGCACAGGAGGGGACCUUGGGCCUGGCGAGAGGCUGGAGGAUGAAAUCGAUCAGGCCAUUUUGUCCUGGGGCUGGAGGAAGGCUGGGGGGUCCUGGGAAGAGUCUAGGGGGUUGAAUGGAGGUUAGAAAGGCAGCGAGAGGGGGAGAGAAAGAGGAGGAAUAAAAUCCUGGGGAUGGUGGUGUGAGUGAGGGAGCGGGAGAGAGAGAGGGAGAGACACCAGGUUAUCAGAGAAGUGUGAAGACAAUAAUGCAAUCUGACAUUUCUGAAACAAGACCCCCCGGUUGCCAUGGCAACGUCUCAUGUGGGAGCAGCUCCCAGGAGACGGCUCCGAGAUGUACUAUAAAUGAUGUUUGAUUAGAAUUUAAAUCAUUUAGGCAGAGAGAAGAUAGGCCUUUUGUCAGCAAGGGGACCUGGGGGUGGGGAGGGAGGGGGGCCGGGGUUGUGGCGGGGGAGGGGGCACCGCUGGAGCCAGCAUGGGCGUGGGGAGCGGGAUCGGAGGUCAGCCAGGGGGUUGAUUACUUUUGCCCUCAGCUUCAUUUCCGUUUACAGUAACCUUUCCAUGGUGGCCAGAGGGACUCAGAGGGCAGGAGAGGAGAGACCUGGGGGGGAUGGGGGUGUGGGAAGGGAGUAAGGGAGAGCAGCAGAGCUGAAGGGAGAGAUGCGGAGAGACAGAGAGGAACGGACAGAGCAGAGAGACACAAGCGGGAGAGAGAAGCAGGAAGAGAGAGAAGGAGAGGGAAAGGAGAGGAAGAGAGACAGACACAGACGGGCAGAAACGAUGAGAGAGACGGAAAGAAGAGAGACCAGGAAAUGGACUGAGAGACACAGAUAGACGGUACAGAGACAGAGAGAGACUGAGAGACACAAAGGGGGAGACCUGGAGUGAAAACAUGGACUCUUGUGUCCACACACCCGGAAUCAUUUUCCAGCCUCUGAAAAAUGCAUCAGGAAUGUGGGUGCCCAUGCUGAGUCCUGAACUUAGAAAAACUCUGCCUCCACCUCCCACUUUGGUCCCCAUCCACAGGGAGAUUCCUUGGCCCUGGAGUUCCUGGGGAAGGGUUAGUGACCCUGGAAAAGAGGCACCAUGGGCUUCUGGUCCUAAGGAAAAUGGGCCAAUUUUACUGAGCUGCCAUGUAAAAUCUUAGACAAACCACCUCUCUGUUCUGAGCCUCAGUUUCCCCAUCUGUAACACAAAAAGUGUUAUAGAUGGAGAGUCAGAUCAGCCUAUGGGCAAUGAGCCCCCGUUCCCCAUUCAGUUUUUAUUUUUAGUUGCAUUAAUUGCCAGCAUUUAAAAGUUGGGAGCGUUUGCAAAAAAUGUUUAAUUUCUGGGUUCUCAAAAAAAUAGGAAAAUCUAUGCAUGCUGGGCCUGUAUUUCCACAUGGCAGCCAUGUGCUGGAAAGGAGGAGUAGUCCCCAUGUUUAAGCAGAGUAUGAGGGCUCCAGUUUACCACAGUUUCCACCAUUCCCUAUUGUCUUACACCCAGCUACUUUUCACACCUUCAUGGUGACUGCCUGCCCUCUGUAGGAAUUUGUGGGUUUUUGUUUGUUUGUUUUUUGGAGACAGAGUCCCACUUUGUCACACAGGCUGGAGUAUGGUGGCGUAAUCAUAGCUCACUGCAGCCUCGACCUCCCUCCUGGGCUUAAGUGAUCCUCCCACCUCAGCCUCCUGAGUAUCUGGAACUAUAGGAAUGUACCAUCACACCCGACUAAUUUUUGUAUUUUUUGUAGAGAUGGGGUGUCAGCAUGUUGCCCAAGCCAGUCUCCAACUCCUGGGCUUAAGUGAUCCUCCUGCCUCAGCCUUCCAAAGUGCUGGUGAACUUUCAAACUCUGCAAAUAAACUCCAGGAUCCUUAUGGCUCUAGCAAUCUAUUAACAUAUGGAUUGUAGACCUCAUACCUCAGUCACCAUGGUUUUGGGUGCCCAGGAUAAUAGAGUUCAUGGGGGUAAUCACAGAGUCAGAGCGAACUAUAUGGCCAUCCUCAUACACACUGUCAGAGCUCAAUAAAUGUUUAAUUAAUUAAUUAAUACAGGAAGAUGAGCCAAAAUGAUUAGGGAGACUGAAAUGAGAACCAUGAUGGGAAAUGGGUAGCUUUUUGAGAAAAUGGACUUGUACCACUGGGCACUGAGGAUAAAAGUGACCUGCUUGGGAGAAGCCCAGAAAGCAGAUGGGAGGGAGUUUGUAAGGAGGAAAAGAGCUGCUUUCAAAGAGGCCAUCUUGAAGUUCUCUAUCUUGGCACCUUCCUCAUGCCCACCAGGACACUUGUCACAACCUGGAAGUUUGUUGUUUGUGUAUUGGCCUGUGUGUGGUCUCUCCUCCCCGAGGAGACUGUGAACUCCAUGAGGAUAGAAACUAUAUCUGGCAGAGUCAGUGCCGUAGCCCCAGCACCCAGCAUAUAGUAGCUGCUUAGGAAACUCUGGAUGAAUAAAUGAGGGAAUGAGUCCCCUUUUCACAUACUUCUCCCAUUUUUGCUCUGAGUAUUUUAAAGCUAUCCGAGCCCCGUCCUCAUACUUUAUUAUUAUUGUUAUUAUUAUUAUUAAGACAAGGUCUCGCUUUGUUGCCCAGGCUGCAGUGCAGUGGCGUGAUUAUGGCUCACUGCAGCCUCGGCCUCCCAGGCUCAAGCAAUCCUUCCACCUCAACCUCCUGAGUAGCUGGGACUACAGACGUGCACCACCACGCCUGGCUAAUUUUUUAUUUUAUUUUUUGUAAAGGUGGGGUCUCAUCAUGUUGCCCAGGCUGGUCUCAAACUCCUGAGCUCAAGGGAGCCUCUCGCCUCCGCCUCCCCAAAGUGCCGGGAUUACAGACGUGAGCUACUGCGCCCGGCCCCUCAUGCUGUAUCAUUAAAUGCAAGCAGCUUGCUUUUAUGUUUUGUUCAUUUAAGGGAGCACUUCCCUUACUAGGAGUGGCAAUGAUAUGACCCUAGGCUAGUAAGAGGCACUUAAUGUCUCUGAACUUCAAUUUCUUCACCUUCAAAGUAGGGCUAAUACCUUCAUUCUGAGAAUGUUCUAAAAUUUAGGCAACAGGUCUAUAACAGUGUCUGGCAUGGAACAGGUGCUCAAUAAGUAGAAGCAAUUUUCAUGGUUGUAGACACUAGUAAUCUACUAGCAUGUGGUAGUCAUAUAAGUAAUAAGAAGACCCAAGGGAAGAGGCAAAUCUUGGGGUGAUGUGGACAUAGGGUGGAGAUAGGGAAGAAUUUGGAAUCCCUUUAGUAACAUUUCUCUUAGGCAGAGCUGUGUUCCCAAGAGUAUUUUCCUUUCUCAAUUUUAGGAUUUUGAAGCUUUGCUAUUGAGGAGGAUGGUGGAUUCAUCCUCCACCGUCACUAUCUUACAGUUCUGGAGGUCAAAAGCCUGACAUGGGACUCGCUGUGCUAAAAAUCAAGAACUGCACCCUUAGAGGCUUAGGGGAGAAUUGUUUCCUUGCCUUUUCCAGCUUCUAGAAGCUGCCCUUAAUCCUUGGCUCAUGGCCCCUUCCUUCAUCUUCAACCGAUAAUGGCCAUGGAACCUCUUGACCCUUCCAACUCCAAUCACACCGGUAAUGCCUGCCUGGAGCACUAUGUGAGGAAUGAUGUUGCAGCCAUGUCUGGACUUAUGGAGCAAGAAUGCUGUAAUUGAUUAGUGAUGUCUGCCAUGGGCAGGGAUGGAGUUACUCAGUUGCACAGUGCUUGGCACAAAGGAACUGCUUGUGGCAGCUGCCUCUGGUUACCCAUGUCAUGGUGUUCCUUUGGCCCAACUCUAAUUAAGUUGCAGCUGCAGUGGGCCAUUCUGUGCAAGCAAACUGAGAUUCACCAUGGUGACAGCACACAGCCUCCAGCAUGAGCUGUGUGUCUUUCCUCUUUUGGUCUUAGGCCCUGUUGGAUGUGAUGGGAGUCCACUCAACCAUACACAAUGCAGCCUGGACAUGGAGGGUUAUGACUUGUAUUACUUUCCUAUAGCGACUGUAUCAAAUUGCCACACACUGGGUGGCUUGAAGCAAUACCCCUUCACUAUCUUACAGUUCUGGAGGUCAAAAGCCUGACAUGGGAUUCGCUGUGCUAAAAAUCAAGAACUGCACCCUUAGAGGCUUAGGGGAGAAUUGUUUCCUUGCCUUUUCCAGCUUCUAGAAGCUGCCCUUAAUCCUUGGCUCAUGGUCCCUUCCUUUAUCUUCAAAGCAAGCAGUGUUUUGGGCUGAGUCUUUCUCUCAUUGCCAUCUCUGCUUGUCCCUCUGUCAUCCCCUCCCUUCCACUUAUCAGAGCUCUUGUGGUUACACGGGGCCCACCAGAUAGCCCAGCAUGGUCUUCCUGUUUUAAGGUCCGCUGGUUAGCAACCUUCAUUUCAUCUGCUCCCUUAAUACCCUUUGCCAUGUAACCGAACAUUUCACAUGCUCUGGAGAUUAGGAAAUGGGUAGCUUUAGAGGUCAUCAUUCUGCCUACCACAUCGCCCCUGGGGUCAGCCCCUCGUGACAGUGAAGGACAGUGGAUGCUGUUGCAGUCUUCUGGUCUUCAGUAGACAAUUCUGGAAAGCAUUCUCUACACCCCUCAACAGGUUCCAGAGAGAUUGAGUCUUUGUUAUCUGUAAUGGCACUUUUACAUUGACGUUCCUCCUUCCCUGACUUACUCUCCCUCAUCCCUCACUCCUGCUUCCAGAGAUCACUGGUCAAAUAAGUUAUCUGCACCCAAGUCCUUGUCUCAAGCUCUGCUUUCAGGAGAACCCAAACUAAAACAGUUCUGGCCAGGUGCAGUGGCUCACACCUGUAGUCCCAACACUUUGGGAAGCCAAGGUGGGUGGAUCACUUGAGGUUAGGAGUUCAAGACCAGCCUGGCCAAUAUGGUGAAACCCCAUCUCUACUAAAAAGACAAAAAAGCUGGGCAUGGUGGUGGGCGCCUGUAAUCUCAGCUAAGGAGACUGAGGCAGGAGAAUCACUUGAACCUGGGAGGCAGAAGUUGCAGUGAGCCGAGACCACACCACUGCACUCCAGUCUGGGUGACGGAGUGGAACUCUGUCUCAAAAACAUAAAAUAAAAUAAACAGGUCUUCAUAAACGUUGGCUAUUACAUUGGUCAAGCUGGAUGUGAUAGACACCUGGCACAAAGUGGCUUAAGCAAAAAGCAAUUUAUGUUCUCAUUGACUGAAAAGUUAAUGGUUAUAUCUAGGACUUCAGGCACAGCUGGAUCCAGGUCCUCAAACAAUGGCCUCAAGAGUUUGUCUUUUUUGAAAUCUCACUUGUACUUUCCUCUGUGUUGGCUUCAGCCUCAGGCACCCUCUCCCCAUACAUUGGCAACGAUGGUCGCCAGCUGCUCAGCCAUUGACCACAACAAAAAUGAGAGUGACUUUUACCCGAUAGUGCCAGGAAAGACACAGGAAUCCUUGUUCCUCAGUUCUGAUUGGCUCAUCUUGGGGCACAUGCCCGUGCCUGGACCAGUCACUAUGGGAGAGGGGAUGUGGCACUGUCGUUGGCCUUGGGUCACCUGCCUCUCCCACAAGUUGGGGGUGGAGUCAGCUACAUCAAGGCCACCUGGCCUGAGAGGGAGCAAGCUGCGGUUCCCCUAAAAGAACUGGAGUGCUUCUCACAUAACAAGGAGUCAAGUACGAGUCACAGACGUCCUCUACAAGUGAGAUCAUCGUGUACUGUUAAUUUUAGGUAAAUCUCUCGCAAGGAUGGGAGACAAGAUGCCGCCCAGCAGGUGGAGGCCUGGAGCUGGGAGGAGGGGAAGCUAGGCGUUGUGCCAGUCAUCAGUGCCAACCGGUCCUGGCUGCAGGGAAUUCUUGGGAUCAGAAAUCUACAGUCUGAGAACUUGUCUAUAAUUUUGCAAUUUCUAUUUUCUUUGCUACAAAGCAGAGAGAAAGCCAAAAGAAAAUAAAGUUCCUCUCAAAAAUGCCAGGCUGUCUGUGCCGGAUAAAAUGGCAUGUGAAGAGUGAAAGAGCCUUUUGUUGAGGCUUAGGGAGAAAGAAAAAGGGGCUGAGAGUAAGGGAAAUGUAUCGGAAGCCCCCCUGCCCGACCUGGGGAAGAGGCAAAACAGAGAUGGGAGGGAGAAGAGGGUUCCUCCUGCAUGAGCUGAGCCCAGGGAAGGUUUGAGUGUCUGAUCGUCAGGGAUCAUACAGACCCGGAUGUGACUCUCUCCUGCCACUUUCUAGUGGUGUGGCCUUGGGUAUGUUUUAGAAACUCUCUGAGCCUCGGUUUUCCCAUCUGUAAAAUGGGGCUGGAAAUAGUACUUCCUCAAAUGACUUAGGUGAAGAUUAAAUGAAAUAACAUAUACAAAGCCAUUAGCCUAAUGUGCUUGGCAUGUGAUAAGGGUUCAAGAAUUAAUAGUAACUGUUAUUAUGAUUGCUGUUUUUACUCUGAUUCCUUAUACCUGUCAAUAGUCAGGGUCAUCUGUCUCAAGGAAAACGGGUUCCCAGCUUGCUUUUAAUCAGAAGGCAGGAAGUGCAGUGGGCACAGAGACCUAGUAUGCUGUGUUCGCCUCCCGUUACUGCUGUCACAAAUUACCACGAACCUGGUGGCUUACAAUAGCAAACAUUUAUUCUCUUACAGUUUUGAGGGUCAGAAGUCCUGAGACUGGGCAUAGUGGUGCAUGCCUGUGGUCCCAGUUACUUGGGAGGCUGAGGCAGGAGGAUCGCUUGAAUCCAGGAGUUUGAGGCUAGCCUCGGCAAUAUAGCCAAGGGUCAGAUCCACACCAAAAGACUCACCCAGCCAACUCACAGAGUCACAAACAAAAUCAAUCAUUGUUCUGAGUUUUGAUAGGGUUUUUUUUUUAAGACCCUAUCUCUAAAAAAAAAAAAAAAGUCCCCAAAUCAAGGCAUCGGUAGGGCUACAUUCCUCCUGGAGGCUCUAGGAGCCUGUUUCUCUGCCUUUUCCAGCUUGUAGAGGCCACCGGCAUUCCUUGGCCUGUAGCUCCUUCUUCCUUCUUCAAGGUCAGCUGUGUAGCAUCUUCCAGUCUCUCUCUCUCUGCGUCCAUUAUCACAUCUCCUUCUCUGACUCUGCCUCCCUCUUAUAAAGAUCCCUGUGGCAACAUUGGACUCACCCAGAUAAUCCAGGAUCAUUUCCCCAGCUCAAGAUCUUUAACUGAAUCGCGCCCACAAAAUCCCUUUUGCCAUGGAAGGUCACAUAGUCAAAGGUUCUGGAGAUUAGGAUGUGGACAUUUGGGGUGGGGCAUUAUUUAGUGUGGCACCUGUGCUAAGCCUAGACAACAGGAAGGCACACAAGCUGAGUUGGCUUUGGGUCAGUUGGUGUUUAUGACACAGCAGCCCACCCCCAAAUUUAGGACUCAGAAUAACAAUUGAUUUUGUCUGUGACUCUGUGAGUUGGCUGGGUGACACUUUUGGUGUGGGCUGGCUCUGCUGGUCUUGGCCAGUCUUGCUCAUGUGUCUGCAGGCAGCUGGUAGGUUGAACAUUGGUUGAAUGAUCUAGGCCUCACUCCCGUGUCUGGCGGCUGGCUGGCUGUCCACAGGGAUAGGGGUCUCUCAUCAUCCAACAGGCUGGCGCAGGCUUCCUUGCUUGUAGGCAUCAGGUUCCAAGAGCCGAAGCUACAAGGCCACUUAAGGCUGAGGCUUGAAAUGGGCACAACAUUACUUCCCCUGCAUUCUAGGAGACAAAGCAAGACACAGAGCCAGGUCAGGUUCAAGGACUGGGGAAACAGACUCUACCUCCUGAUAGGAGGAGCUCCUAGAUAUCAUGGCCAUUUCUGACAGGGCCAGUUUCGGGCACUGUGCUAAGUGCUUUCAUUACGCUAUCUCAUUCCAUCCUCACAGUAACCCUUUGAGAUGAUAAGCACUAUUUAAAGGUCCCCAACUUACAGAUGGAAACGCUAAAGCUCACAGAGGUGCAGCCACUUGCCUAAGGUCGAACAGCUAGUGAGUGGCAGAGUGGGGACUUAGCCCUUAUGUCAUGAGCCACAAUAGACCCUUCUUGCAAAAGACAUGCAUUUUGAGAUGGCUGACCAGCACUAGAGAGGCUGACUAGAGGGGAAAUGUGGGUCUCACUUGAUACCGUUGCCCAAGCACUGAACUCACCAGCUCUGCUGCUAACCCCAAUGUGGCUUCCCAGGCCCCAUCUCCUGGGAGGCUGAGUGGAUUCCCAGCAGGGCAUCUUUUUUGAGGAGCUGGGAGCCCUUCCCUCACCCAUCCAGGAAUCUGGAAAUGGGCCUAUCACUUAUUGCUCCUUUUCCACCUAUGCAGGAAAGGGAGGAGGGACAGCUGGCUGGGGUGGAGGUGCCCAAAUCUGUCACUUUCCCCAUGAGUCUGACCUUUUUGUCCCAUCGCUUCUACACCUACGUGGGUCCAAGCCCCCAUUGCUUCUACCUGGAUGACACCAGAGCCUCCUCCCUGGUCUCUCUGCUUCCAUCCUGGCCUUACUGCCCCCCACAUCCAUUUCCCACUUGGUGGCCAGGGUGAGCCUCUGACAACCUAAGUCAGAUCCUAUCACUCCUUCCACGGCUCCUAUCUCAUGCAGGCUGAAACCAAGCACCUACCAGAUCCUGCCUGUGAUCUCUCUGAUCUCCCCUGAUCCCUACCACCCCGGCCUGGGUGCCCCAGGUACCCGCCCACUCAGGGACUCCAACCUGCUGUUCCUGGCCUGGAACAUUCCACCUCUAUGGCUCACUCCUUUAGUUCAUGCCAACGGCUUCUCAAAUGUCCGUUUGCCCCAGCCAGGCAUGGUGGCUCACACCUUUAAUUCCAGCACUUUGGGAGGCUGAGAUGGAAAGAUUACCUUGAGGCCGGGAAUUCAAGACCAUCCUGGGCAACAUAGCAAGACCCCUGUCUCUACAAAUGUCCCUUUGCAGGGAGGUGGGGUUUUUCCCUCCCCCUCCCCUCCCCUCCCCUCCCCUUCUCUCCCCUCCUCUCCCCUCCUCUCCUUUUUUUGCAUGUAAAAUAGUGACCCUUAUCGUUCUUGUCUGGCCUUUUAUUCUGUUUUGCUCUUCCUGCAUAGCAUGUCCUCCUAUAUAUGAUUUUGUGUGUCAAUGUAUUUAUUUACCAUCUGCCACCUCCAACAGACUGUCACCUCCACCAGGACAGGAAUUCUUUUUCUACCUAUUCUCUGCUGUGUUCCCAGUCCUAAGGCAGUGCCUGGUGUUGGCACAUAGUAGUUGCUCAGUAAAUACACUUUGUGCUGUUAAAUGAAUGAGCAAAUGAGUGAAUGAAUGGCAGGAACCCCUGGACCCCUUGCUCUCUGGGGGCACUGGGCACAGGAGGAGCCUGAUGGGAGCUGAGAGCUGAGAGGGCCCUCAUGGCACAGGUAGUUCUUACCUGGAGUCCCCGUGGAUUGAGGCACCAACAGGAGAGAGGGUGGCCAGCUCCGUGAAGUCAUUGGGUGCCCUCACCGGUUCUCCUUACAGCAUCCCCUCCCCCACUCCUUGGACAUUCAUUCUUCCAUUGCUGCCCACUGCUCAUUAAGCAGGAUCUGCUCUGUCUCUUGAAUCUUCUCUGAAACAGGCUUCUCCCAGCUUGUAGGAGAAAUGCCUUGCAGGUGAAGAUGGUGAGGAAGUUGGCCCUGAAAUAGCCCAGCCCCUCGAAGAGACAAACAGGGAGGAGCAUCAUUCAGGUGCUUCACUGGGAAAUGAACCAGGUAGGCCUCUCUCUGAGGGGCAGUGCUGACCACUCAGAGGCGGCAGUGCCUGUGGAGAAAAGGGAGAAGGAGUCCUGAAUCUGGGCCCUGCAAUCGCCUGUGCAUUUGGCCUCAGGGGAGUCGCUUAAACUCUCUGUGCUUCGGUUUCCUCAUCUGCAGAGUGGGCAUCAAGCUAUCUAACUCACAAUGUACAAUGUACACCGUGGCUUGCAGCUUCCAGUGCCUGCAGGGGCUGGGCAGGUGGGAAGACACUUGAAAGGCAUUGAGGGAUGGGCAACAUGUGAGCCCCAGCCCCUGUAUGGGGGUGGCCACUAUUCGGUCUUUGUCAUGCAGGAAGAGGGGCUCAGAAAGGCCAGCUGUGCUGAUUUUGCUUAAACCAGAUUUUGCUUAAAGGUGAAAUUUUCUUAUUUUUAAAAAUGACGGCACAUUCAGAUUAAAAGCAUUAAAAGGGACACACGAAAUCUGUUAACAAGUUUGCAAUCUGUGUUUCAGCCCAGAUAUAGAGGGGAAACUGAGGCAAAGAGAAUAGGAGCUGGUCACCCAGAAAGAUAGAGGGAGAAGUGUUUGUCAAGGGAGGGCAAGGGACAGACAACCCCCAAUCCACUUUUGUUUUCGGGAACCAGAAGGCUGUGGCUGCCUUUAGAACUGGUUCAUACUGAAACACAGAGACCUCCUUCUUUCCUCCUCUCUCCCAUGGUGAGGGAUGGUGUCUUAGUCCAUGUGGGCUGCUGUAGCAAAAAUACCAUAGGCUGGUUGGCUUAUAAACAAGAGAAAUUUAUUGCUCUUAGUUCUGGAGGCUGGAAAGUCCAAGAUCAAGAUGGCAGCAGAUUAGGUGUCUGGUGAGGACUUGUUUCCUUGUUCAUAGAUGGCACCUUCUAGCUGUGUCCUCACGUGGUGGGAGAGGUAAGGGAUUUUUCAGGGGUCUCUUUUCUAAGGGCACUAAUGCCAUUCAUGAGGGCUCCACCCUCAUGACCUAACCACCCCCUAAAGGCCCCACCUCCUAAUACCAUCACAUUAAGGGCAAGGAAUUUUGGGGGGACACAAACAUUAGACCACAGCAGAUGGUAUGGAUGGGAUUGAGGGAGAGAAAGUGUCAGAGCCAACAUAGAAGUUUCCAUUCUCUUUUUUGUCCCCCUACUUGGUGACUAAACAACAUUUCUCCAGUCUGGUUGGGGUGGGAAUCGGGUGGAUGGGGUAGGUAGGAGUGAGGUCUUCCAGCCUGGCUUGACGUCCUUUUUCCAGGAUAAUGUUCAUCUUAAAAUAACCUACUUCAAUGAACAUUCGGCCAAAAGACAAAAGGAAGGUAUUGCUAGGUAAUGUGCAGCCACUCUGUCACAGUCUUUUUUUUUUAAAUGAACACAAAUUCCUUGACUGUCUUCUUGCUGAGAGGUGAGGUCUCUGUCCCCCUCCUCUCCCUACUUGAAUCUGGAUGAGCUUGUGACUCACUUAUAACCAAGAAUAUGGAAGAAGUGAUGCUGUGUGAUCUCCUCAUGCCUGGAGCCUGUGAGCCUCUCUCUGAGAAGUCCAGUGCCCCUGAGCCCACCAUGCUGAAGAAGCCACCUGGAGAAGCCCCUGUUGACAGAGAGCCAGCAUCACCUGCCAGUCACCAGAAGGGAGCCAUCUCAGACAUCCAGCCCAGCUGAGCCUUCAACUGACUGCUGCCCCAACCAACAUGUGAACUGCAACCGCAUGAGAGACCCUCAAGUGAGAACCGCCCAGCUGAGCCUUUCCCAAGUUCCUGGCCCACAAAACCCAGAACAAAUUAAAAUGAGUGUUUUAAGCCAUUAAGGAGCAGGGUAAUUUGUUACACAGCAACAGUAACCAGGACACAUUCCCAAACCUAACUAGGAGGAAAUUUCCUCUUGAUAAAAAUGCUGAUUUUUUUAUUCAUCCUAGACCUUCAUAAGUCAGAAUCAUCUGUGGAUAAGGUAUAAGAAUCUGCAUUUUUUUUAAGACAAGCUCUCCCACCCCAGGUGAUUCAGAUGCACAGCCAGGUUUGGAAAUUUAAGACCUUGGAAGAGAGUCACAUUGCCUCUCUCUGAGUCUCAGCUUCCUUGUCUGUGAAUUGGGGAGGAGUGAGAGUUGGUGUGAGUAUCAAAGAAGACGCUGCAGGUAAAGUCUUUAGGGCCAGCCAGGCGUAGUGGCUCAUGCCUGUAAUCCCAGCACUUUGGGAGGCCAAGGCGGGUGGAUCAUGAGGUCAGGAGUUCAGCCUGGCCAAUAUGAUGAAACACUGUCUCUAUUAAAAAUACAAAAAAAUUAGCCAGGCAUGGUGCCAGGUGCCUGUAGUCCCAGCUACUCAGGAGGCUGAGACAGGAGAAUCGCUUGAGCCCAGGAAGCGGAGGUUGCAGUGAGCCGAGAUCACACCACUGCACUCCAGCCUGGGCGACAGAGCAAGACUCUGAGAAAAAAAAAAAAAAGUCUUUAAUAAGGCCAAGGCAUAUGGAAAGGACUCAGGAUUGGAACUGAAUAAUUAACCGUGGAUAUCAGUAUCAUUGAUACCAAUACUGUUGUUUUAUUGUAACUACUUCACUAUCAUGGGUUGAAUAGCGGCAUCAAAAAUAUAUGUCCAGUUCCUAACCCCUGAUGCCUGUGAAUGUGACCUUAUUUGGAAAUAGAGUCUUUGCAGAUGUAGUUAAAGAUCUCAAGAUAAGCUCGUCCUAGAUUUAGGGUGGGUCUUACAUCCAAUGACAAAUGUCCUUAUAAGAUACAGAAAAGGAGAAGAAGACCACAUGCAUACCCACAAGAAGAUGGAGGCAGAGACUGGAGUGAAGAAGCCACAAGCCAAGGAAUGGCUGGAGCCACCAGGAGCUGAAAGAGGCAACGAAGGAUCCUCCCCUGGAGACUUCAGAGGGAGCAUGGCCCUGCUGACACCUUGAUUUUGGAUUUCUGGCCCCCAGAACCAUGAGAGAAUAAAUUUCUGUUGUGUUAAGCCACAUAGUUUGUAGCAAUUUAUUACAGCUGCCCUUGGAAUCUAAUGCACCACUGUUCAGCAGGCACCACACCCAGCACUGGAAACACCAAGGUGAGGAAGGGGCCCAGUGUUUCCCUAGACACAAUGUCCUCAAAAGCAAGCUCUAUCCUGUGACCAUUCACAGAAGGGACAUGGAGUCACAGUAAUGAACAUAGGUGUCUAUGGCUUCCACCAAACCUAGAGAAGCCUUCCUCAAGUGGUCAUUUCUUCCAUCACUCUCCAAUGAGAACCAGGAACUCGAAUGCUCAAUUCUAACUCAACGGUGGAUCACAGGCUCUUUGCCUUCUGAUGCUGACCUGAGUGUAGCCAUAGAGCUUUGAGAAAGGAGACCAGAAUGCUAUGAAUUCAUCCACUCACCAAAUGUUUCCAGAGGGCCCCUUCUGUAAAAGGAACCAUGCCAGGCACAAGGUCCCUGCCCACACCAAGCCCAGAGCCUGGAGGAGGCUGCGGACCAGUGCACGGACAGACAGUGUGGGAAGGCAACUGUUGGAGGCAGGGUGGUGCAGUGGUUAGGAUUCUGGGCUCUGGAGCCUGCCUGAGCUGGGAUUCCAGCUUUGUCACUCCCUGACUGUGUGGCCUUGGGCAAGCCACUUAACCCUUUUAUGUCUCUGUUCCCUCAUCUCUAAAUAGGGGACAACAAUCACACCACCUUCAGAGGGUGGUGCUUGUGAGGACUAAAUGAGAAAAACCAGGCAAGUACUGAGCACAGUUCCUGGCACAGAGUAAGUGAUGAAUAAAGGCAUCAGGUGAUGAAGAAGGCUGGGGGUGGGUAGGAGAGAUUGUUCUGGCAGGGGGAAUAGCAAGUGCAAAGGCCUGGAGGGAACACAAGGAUGGCAGGUUUAGGCACCAGAUGGCUCUGGCAAGCCAGAGCCCAGAGGACAGAAGGUCCUAACCUAGUCUGGGUCACAGCCCAAACUGGGGAAGCCAAAAUCAGGAAAAUGCACCUAGUACUCACCAAAUACCAUCCCUGAUUUCAGGAAGGUCGUGGACCAGGAUUUACUAACCACAGCUCUAUUGACAUUUUGGGCCAGAUAAUUAUUUGGGGUGGGGACUCUCCUAUCCAUUGUAGGAUGUUAGCACCAUCGUUGACCUCCACCCACUAAAGGCCACUAGCACCUCCUGCCCCAGUUGUUAUGACCAGACUGUCUCCAGACAUUGCCAGAUGUCUCCUGGGGACACAAUUACCCUUGAUUAAGAACCAAGGCCCUAAACCAUCUCUCUCAGAUCCUGAAGCCUGGGCCACCUGCCUCUUUCCAUCUCUCCUGAAAUGUGGCUACCAGAUAUGGGAUGGAUGCUCAUCUUGACUGUGCUGGCCUGGAGAAGCCUGAGCAAAGGAAAGAGCACUGGAAAAGGAGUCAUUUAGGAGCUUAAGGCACUCAGAGAACUUACUAAAAUACCAAAUCUCAGGUCCCUCCAGGGGACAUUCUAGGGUUUUAUGAUUUGGGAUUUUAUGAUUUAUGGAUUUGAGCAGUGCAGCAGCAUGGAGAUGCACUGCCUUCCCUUCAAGAAAAGCCUCCUUGCCCCGCUGCGGGGGUGUGUUCUGUAGAUAACUUCCAGCUCAUCCGUGUUUGCUUCCUUCAAGGUCAUGCUUUUUCUGGGCUGCCCCUGGCCAGUGGCUGAGCGAGGCCCUGGGAGAUUGAGGGCAUGAUCUCCUUAGGGCGGCACCUGGCCAGUGAGCAUGGCAGUGGCACCAGGGCCAUGGUCAUUUCUGCCCAACUGAGGACUCCUCUAACCACCUUUGAUCUGCAGCUCCCCACUGGGCUGGCAGAAAUGUGUCAUAUCUGCACAUCUGUGGUCUGACCCGACCCCAUGCCCCAUCCUGCUUCCUCCCUUUGUUUUUUCCAGGUGUUAGAGCCCAGCAAACCCUCUGCACUUCCAACUAGCAUAGAUGCUCAGGGUAGAGCCUAGAAAUCUGAGUUUCAAAAUUGUUCCCCAAGUAAGGCCAUUGCUGAGUGAGGUCUGGGAGCCUCCAGGCUACACAGUCCCCCAGUUCUCUGCCAGCGCUGACAUUCUAGGGUUUUGUGAUUUGGGAGAAACUUGAUUUGGCCUGGGGGUGUGUUUGCAUGGGUGCAAUAAACCAUGCUGUCACGGGUUUUAUGGUUUCCUUCUCUGGGCACUGCUAGCAGUGGGUUUGAAAGGCUUCCCACCUGAAGAGGGAGAAGAAACCUGGGCUUGUGUUGUUCUAAUUCGAGUUCCCACCUAGAGGAAGGGGUAUUUCUAGGUCCUGUAACUUUCUCAUUAGAGUCAGGAGCCAUCAUUGUCCCCAUUUUACAGAUGAGGGGAAAAGUAUAACCUAAAGAAAGGAAUAAGGACUUCAGAGUCUGCAGAUAGUUUGUGGUGGACUUUAAGAUAAUCACUUACUUUCCCUGAGCCUCAGUUUCCUCAUCUGCAAAAUGAGUCAGUCAGUCAUUCAUGAACUUUAUUGAGUCCUUACUGUGUUGAGCACAGUUAUCAGGAAUGGGGAUUCAGCUGUGAAUAAGACAAGUAAGAUGGGACACACGUCAUGGAGUUUGCAUUCUAGAAGGGAGAUGGGCAAUAGACAGAUGAACAAAUAGUUUCAGAUAGGGUGAGUGCUGUGAAGACGGAGAAAUGGGGUGAUGAGGCAAUGAUGGGAACUGGGGUGAGGGUAGGCAGUAAUUGGAUGACAAGAGACAGCGACAAUUAAAAUGAGACCUCAAGGAUGAGAAGAAAUUAGCCACUGGAGGAGCUGGGGGAAUGGUGUGCCAGGCAGUGGGAACAGCAAAUGCAGAAACCUAAAGUGGGGAGGGAAUGAGCUUGGUGUGGGAAAGGAACCUCCCAGAGGUGCAGGGGGUGAGGGGAUGAGGGUGGAGAGGUUCCCCCUUCCAUGAGGACUUCAGCUGUUACUGUCCCUGAGAGGGGCAGCUCCUGGAGUUUGCAGCUGAGGAAAGCCAUGGUGAAGCUCACUUAGAAAAUGACUAAGGCUUACUUAGGAGAUAAUUCACUUAGGCUCACUUAGGAGAGGACUAAGGCUCACUUAGGAGCCUCCAUUUUUAGGAUAAAGGACUUGCCAAGGACACAAAGCCUACCACCCCAGCUUCUUCUCCCAGUCAUUCCCCUCUAGCACAGGAGAAGGCAAACCAGGCUGGGAAGUGCAGAGGCAGACCCCAAUACGCAGGUGUUCCUCCAAGCAGGCCAAGCUGGGACAGAAGGGGCAACAAAUCAGCCCCACAGAGCAAAGCACAUGGAGCACUUUGACGACCUGGACUGCUUCUGCCCAGCUCUGGGCCAUGUGACCCCGUGGUCACAUGACCAGCUCUAACUACCCCUCCCCGUGGAGGGAGAUCUGGGCUAAUUGCCAGGGAGACUGGGGUUAUAAAUUGUGUGGGGUUGGACAGAGGGAAAGUAGAGGCUGGCAUGUAGCUUUAAAUGGUUUUCUCCAACUCCGAGGUUUCCCUUUUGUUCCUUAAGCAUUUGUAACACACAAGCUUUGCUAUCCCCAGGGAACUGCGCCUGAACUCACUGGUGAAUUGGAAUUUUUGUCUUUCAUUAUUUUAUUUACUUAUUUUCCAGUUUUAUUGAGGUAUAAUUGAAAAGUUAAAAUGGCAUAUAUUCAAGAUGUCCAAUGUGAUUAUUCGACAUAUGAAUACACUGCAAAAUGAUUACCACAAUAAAAUUAAUUUUUUUAGUGGCCACUCUGGGCAAGGGAGGUACAGUUCCUGGUUUUGAGGCUGUUGUUUUGUUUUGUUUUUGUUCAUGGGAAGCUGCACCCUCCAUGCUUGGACACCUGCAUUUCUUGGGAAGCUUUUGAACGCUAUGACUUCUGGUCUCACCACUACCCCUCCAUUUCAGGCUCUCAUGGGUUCAGUCCUGGAUGCUGUAACAAAUUCUUCCCUCUCUUCCCAGGUGCUAGCCAGGAUCACUCCCUCCGAAGUCACACCAGAGGGAGGGCUGGAGGGAGAAUCAAAUGAAAGAGAGAGGGAGAGAAAGGAAGGAAGAGAAGGAGGGAGAAUGGAAGGAUGUAUGGAUUUGGAUGUAUGGGUUCCAUUCCUUCUACCCUGGCAAAAGCUUACUCAUCCUUCAGUGUCCAUCCAAAAUGGCAUCUCUUCUUGGGCACCAUCUCCAGAGUCUCCUGCAAGCAGGUAGCUACAUCCCACAAAACAACCACCCAUCUGACCAUGCAAGUGUGUGGGGGAAUGAAGACCAGCCCAGGAAUCUGAGAUGAAUGUUUUGCUUCUUGCUCUGCCACUGACUCACAGGGUACCCCAAGCAAGUCCCUUCACCUCCUCGGUCUCAGUUUCUCCAUUUAUACUACUAAGGCAGUGGACAUGAUGGCCUCAAGUCUCAACAUUUUUAUUCCCUGAAAAGAAACUCUUGGUGCUGAGUGGUCUUCUUCUGCCCUGACAUCUCACCUUUCAAACGCUUGUCUCUUCUCACCCCACCCACCACUUAGCAUGUGCUCUUGGAGAACACCCAGGACUCAGGGUCUCUGCACACAUCAUGAGUCCAGCUCAGCAUUUGAGGUGGAAUCAGAGGAAAGGAAGGAGAGUGGGGAGAAUAGUCAGUAUUUUGGCAAGCUCAUCAUACCUUCCCCCUUUGUAUAGAAACUUCAAACCAUUUCCCUUUGAAGGCACUACCUCCUUCCCCCAGUUAUAAAUGAGUGAAGGUCUCAAGCCUGGACAACCAAAUGCACAGUGAUUGGUUCAACUCUGGACCUGUGACUCAAGCCAGACCAAGGGAGUGACAUGCAGGGCUUUGCCUGGAACUAUUCUGAAAGGGGCACUCUCUUUCUGCUGGGCUACUGAUAAUAUGUGCAUCCGUGAUAGAAGAGCCUGCCUGAUAAUAAAGCCAAUAAGGGAAGAGCAGAGCCAAGAGAUGGUGGGAGAGCAGAUGCCUGAAAAUAUCAUUUGAGCCCCUGGGUCCAGCUGCACCUGAAGCCACCACGAUCUCCUGGACUUUGCAGUUACUUGAGUUCAUAAAUACCCUUUGGCAUUAAGCCAGAUUGAGUCUUAAUGCAUAUAGAAAUAAGAGAAAUGAGAAAAGAAAUUGAAAAGAGAGACAGCAGAGAACUGAUUCUCUACUAGAGCCUCCAGAAGGAAUCAACUCUGCCAACACCUUGAUUUUGGACUUGUGGCCUUCAGAACAGUGAAAUGAUAAACAUCUGUUAUUUUAAGGUACCUAGUGUGUAACAUUCCGUCAUGACAGCCCUAGGAAAUGAAUACAGCGAGGAAAAUCCUACCAGCACAAAGGCAUGGAGGUGCCAGGAUGUCUCCUCUGCGUGAAGAGUAGAUGUAGAUGAGGCUGGAAUUAUCUAUCCUAGCUGCCCAGACCCAUGUGCCUUUGUUUUAUGUAGUUACAGCACCUAUGAUACAUAUUUGUUACCAUGUAUGUCACUAUGAACCUCCUCUGGAGGACGGAGAAGUCAAAUACCUUAAUUAUUCCAACACAAGCUUGCGUGAACAGAUAAUCAUCACUACGAGUAUAUUGUGUGCCUGCUAAGCACCACACCUGAGAUAAGCAUUUGCUGUGGUUUGAAUGUCCCCUCCAAAGCUCAUGCUAAAAUUUAAUUGCCAUUGCAACAGUGUUGCAAGGUGAGAACUUUAAGAGAUGAUCAGGUCAUGAGAACUCUGCCCUCGUGAAUGGAUUAAUACCCUUAUCGCAGUAGUGGACCCCCCUUUUCUCUUGCUGUCUGUCUCUCAUGUUAGCUUGUGCUUCCUCCUUUCACCAUGGGAUAACACAGCAAGAAGCCCCUCACCAGAUGCUGGCACCUUGCUAUUGGACUUCCGGCCUCCAGAACUGAGAAAUACAUGUCUUUUCCUUAUAAAUUACCCAGUCUGUGGUAUUCUGUUAUAGCGGCAGAAAAUGGACUAAGACGGCAUUUUGCAUACAUUAUCUGUCUUAUUAAAAAUAAUGUUUUUGCCCAGGAACAUAGAUUCAAGUUGCCCUGAAUAUACAUUAUCUCCCUACAUUAUCUCUUUUAAUCCUCACCUAUUAGGUAGAUAAACUGCUAUUAUCCCCAUUUUGCAGGUGAAACCUCAAGCUCCCAAAGAACUGCAGCAUCGAGGAAAGUAAAACCAAUAGCUAGCAUGUUCAGUAGUCCCCUUUACCCAUGGUACAAUACAGUACGCUAAGAUAUUCUGAGAAAGUGAGAGGCCGCAUUCACGUAUCUUUUAUCGCAGUAUAUUGUUACAAUUGUUGUAUUUUAUUCGUUAUUGUUGUUAGUCUCUUAUUGUGCCUAAUUUAUAAAUUAAGCUUUACCACAGGCAUGUGUGUAUAGGAAAAAACAGUACGGAUGCUCCUCAACUCACAAUAGGGUUAUGUCCUGAUAAACCCUUCGUUCAGUUGAAAAGAUCUUUAAGUUGAAAAUGCAUUUAAUACCUCUAACCUACCAAACAUCAGAGCUUAGCCUAGCAUACCUUAAACAUCCUCAAAACACUUACACUAGCCUACAGUUGAAAAAAAAUCGUCUAACACAAAACCUAUUUUCUAACAAAGCACUGAAUAUCUCAUCUCUUAAUUUUAAUUUUUUUUUUUCUGAGUAACAGGCUGCUCUGUUACUCAGGCUGGAGUGCAGUGGCAUGAUCAUAGCUCACUGCAACCCUGAACUCCUGGGCUCAGGCCAUCCUCCCACCUCAGCCUCCUGAGUAGCUAGGAUACAAGUGCGUGCCACCACACCUGGCUAAUCUUUUAAUUUUUAUUUUUGUAGAGACGAGGUACUGUUUCCCAGGGUGGUCUUGAACUCCUGGCCUCAAGUGAUCCUCCCACCUUGGCCUCCCAAAGUGCUGGGAUUACAGGCGUGAACCACUGUGCCCAGCUUCUUCUUAUAUAUUGAAUACUGUACUUAAAGUAAAAAAUUGAAUGGUUGUAUGGGUACUGUAAGUAUGUUUUCUGCUGAAUGCAUAUCACUCUCACACCAUUGUAAAGUCAGAAAAUUAUAAGUCUAACCAUCAUAUGUUGGGGACCAUCUGUGUAUUACUAUCCAUGGUUUUAAGCAUCCACUAAAAGUCUUGAAAUGUAUCCCCCUCAGGUCAGGGGACACUGCUGUAAUAAUAAAAACAGCUUGCACUUCCACAAGAUUCAGACGUGCCAGAUAGUGGUCUAAGAGCUUUGCAUGCAUGUUAAUUCAUUUCACUCUCACAGUAACCUGAUGAGGGACUUACUAUGAUUCUUCCCAUUUUACAGGUGAGGAAACAGAAAUAAAAAGACACUAAGGGCUUGCUCAAGCUUGAGCUGGAAUUUGCACCCCGGCAGCCUCACUCUAGCUGCCUGUUACUUACUGCAGGCCUGUCGGGUGCCAGGCACUGUGCUGAGCAUUCUACAUAUUUCAUCCUCCCAGCCUCUCAGUGACCAAGUGCAGAAACCUGUGACCAUUUCAUACUGAAUAUUUGAAGGAUAAGCAAGUGAUCGUGGCACACAAAGGGACACUUACUUUGGUGCUUCCUUCAUCCUUAUUUGGUUUUGGACACAUUCCCUGCCUAACUCACCAGACUCCCCAAGGGCAUGGAACAUGUCUAAUGGAGCCUCGGAUCCCGCAUGUAUUGCACGGUUCCUGGCACGUAGUAGAUGCACAUGUUUUCGAACUGACCCAUCAUCUACAUGCGCUCUUGCAUGUGACAUGUCCUGGGAGGCCUCCUCAUCUCAUGACUGCCACAGCCAUGCUCACUGCCCAGGGCACCAGAAGGCAGAAGGCUGGUGAAGCGAUUUGGCUGAAUUCACUGCCUCCCUCUUGACGGAGGGGCUGAGGUGAGGAGGGAGAGGUGGCAGCAGGAUCCACUCCACUCCAAUGGUGCCCAGAUAGACCUAUACAUCACCCAACACAAAUAGAGCCACUCUGAGCAGUAUUGAGCGGAGUGCAGGCAGACAGUGCAAGGGAAGCUGGCCUCUUCAUCCAUCAGCGCCGCUGCUGCUGCCCAGGGGUGAGGACCAUGGUGGAGCCCCUUGCAGGUGCCCCCACAGAGCCCCCUGCCCCUAGUUGCCCCUCUGCAGAUGGGUGGAGGAUGACAGUUGCAUAGGGAUAGGAUCUUAUUGUAUAAAUCUCCUUUUGUGGCCCUGCCUGUCCUGGAUCCAAGCAGGAGGGGUGGUGGGCAAAUAGAAAGUGACAGCAGGACAUUUAUUGUUCUGAUGGACCAAUAGGGAAGCCGGGGUGGAGGCCAGCGGGGCAGCAGAUAGGUCAGUGUGGUCGGUGGUACUUACAACCGAUAGGAUCUAGAUGAGUCCAAGACAGAUGACUGCAGAGACAGCCAGCGCCCACCACAGCCCCAUCAGUAAGCCUGUGGGUAGGGAACAAGCUGGACAGCCCUCUGCAACCUGGCAUGGACGGGUGGAAGGUGUGGAUUUUCACGCCAGGUUGGGGAAGGUGGAUAAAAGGGUGGCAGUGGGAACAGCUUGGGUGGCGAUCUGGGGAGAGGACAAGAGACCCCUAGAUACAUACUGUCUCUUUCAUGUUCUAUCUUUCCAUGUCUCUGCCUCUGUCUCCUCAUCUAUGUUUGGUUUUCCUUUUUCUCUCUUGUCCCUUUCCUUCUCUUCCCUUCAUUCCUCCUUCUCUUCCCCUUUUCCCUUCCCCUUCUCUCUCUCCAUCUCUUUCUGUCUCUCCUUCCCUCCCUCUCUCUCUUCCUCUGUUUUUUCUCUGGGUGUGGGUGUGACUUUCUUAUUCUCCCCUCCUCCUCCCUCCUUCCCCCCCUCUCCUCUCUCUUUAUAGGUAUUCACUACAGCUAGCAUUUAUUGGGUGUGUGCUUUGUUCCGGACACUGUUCUGAGCUCUUCACACUUAUGGGCAUUCAUUCCUCAAUCCUCACACAGCCAGUGGGGCAGAUAUUGCUCCUGGCUCCUGGUAUCUCUUUCUGAGGGCCUUGUUUGCAUCUGGACCCAGGAUGCUCGUGUGUGACUUUUCUGGAAUCCAAGCACAUUGUGGCUGUUAAUAGUGAUGAUGAUGAUGAUGAUCAUGAUAAUCAUGAAGAUAAAAAAUUAUCAGGCAUUUUCUCUGUACUAAAUCCUUUAUGUAUAUCAUCUCCAGGAAUCCCCUGGGCACCUCCAAGAAGUAGGCAUUAUUAUCCCUACUCUACAAAUGAGGAAACUGAGGCCAAGAGAGGUUAAAUGAGUUGAUCAAGGUCACACAGUUGGUAAGACAUGAAGCAGGGCUGGAAACAAGGUCUUCUGGAACUUCACCUCACUGAUCUGCUACAGGAGGGAGUCUGGGAAGCCAUGGGAAGCCCAGUCAGGGCUGGAACUCUGGUCUACAAAUCAUCCCUCCCUGGGAACCUGGCUCAGGGGCCAGCCCCAUCACUGUCUCAGCAGAAACCAUUGGUCAUCUUAGCUAUAGCCUUUCACCAAGGAAGAAUGCCUAAAACCAUAUCCAUACCCAGGAAAGUCUGAGAAUUAUAGCUGAGCUUUCCAUCAAGAUGGCUGGCCUUGACUCAGAUUAGGUCAGAAAUUAAAAUAGCAAAUUCAAGGUUAUAACACUUUGAUCAUGGCUCACAUACAGUUCUUCUUUAACAAAAUCCCUAACAUGGAGUAAUCAAUAUUUCUGGGGCGUGUGCCAGGUCAACACCCUUCUUCACCUCACAUUCCCUCAUCCCCUAAUGGAGAAAGCCCUUGGGAGCCAUGUUGGUGUCAUGUGACCCUGCCUCCCAGGCUGAUUGGAUCAAGGGUGAUCACCUGAUCCAAGAUGGGCUAAUCAGAUCCUCUCUCACCUAAAGUUUGGAAUUGGGAAUCUAAUCUUUUUUCUUUUUAAUUUUUUAAAACUGUCACAUAAAAUAGUUUUAUAAUAUUUAAAUUAUGUAAAUAAUACAUGCUGAUUGUAAAAAAUAUUCAAACUUUUACAUAAAAAUAGAAGGAAGGCAAUAAAAAUUACCUGAAAGCCCAUCAUCCUGUUAGCCAUUUAUAUUUGGUGACCAUUCUUUCAUUCAUUUCUUUGUGUAUUAACUCACACACAUGUAUCUAAUUUUAUAUAAAUGGAAUUUUAAAUGAAUGGGCUCAUGUCACACGUGCUGGCUUAAACAUGGUCAUUUUUUUCUUAUAAUAGAGGGUUUUCUUUCUUUAUUCCUCCCUCACACCCUCUCUCCUCACUUUGUCCUCUUCUUUUUGCAUACCUUCCACUUCCUUACCCUCCCCCACCCCAGACCUAGCCCUAAUAACCAGUUCAUAACCUGAUGUAUUUUUUUUUUUGUGGUAAGCUGCAUAAUGGUCUCCAAAAGAGAUCCAUGUGGAACCUGUGAGUGUUUCCUUAUAUGGCAAAAAGGACUUGCAAAUGUGAUUAGAUUAAGGGCCUUGAGAUGGGGAGGUUAUCUGGAUUAUCUGAGUGGUCCUAAUGUAACCACAAGUAACCUUAUAAAAGGGAUGCAGGAGGAGUCCACGUUAGGGAAGAAGGCAACGUAAAGACAGAAGGAAAAAAUGCAGUGAUGCGGGUAUGAGCCAAUGCAUGCCAAAGCAGCCUCUAGAACCUGGAAAGAGCAAGGAAUGGAUUCUUCCUUGGAGCCUCCAGAAGCAGUCAGUCCUAUCAACAUCUUGCUUUUAGCCCUGUAAGGCUGGUUUUAGAUUUCUGACCUCCAGAGCUGUAAGAGAAAAAAUUUGUGUUGUCUUUGGCCACUCAGUACAUGGUAAUUUUUCACAGCAACAAUAGAAAACCAUUACAAAUUUUAGUACCAAGAGUGGAGUGCUACUGUAACAAGUACUUACACAUGUGCAAGUGACUUUGGAAUUGGGUGUUAGGUAGAAUCUGUAAGAAUUUUGAGGCACAUGACAGAAAAGGCCUAGAUUGCCUUAAACAGACUGCUGAUACGAAUGUGGUUGUUCAGCAUUUUGGGCGGCUGAAGUGAAUGGAUCACUUGAGCCCAGGAGUUGGAAACCAGCCGGGGCAACAUGGCAAAACCCCAUCUCUACAAAAACUACAAAAAUUAGCCAGGUGUGGUGGGACAUACCUGUGGUCCCAGCUACUUGGGAGACUGAGGUGGGAGGAUCGUUUAAGCCUGGGAG